This 608-nucleotide ribosomal RNA is filed under the name Actinomycetales bacterium A327. RNAcentral's name for it is "bacterial SSU rRNA". It matches the Rfam family "Bacterial small subunit ribosomal RNA", at positions 55 to 680 of the family's 1533-position model. Lineage: Bacteria; Bacillati; Actinomycetota; Actinomycetes; Actinomycetales. The record is from RNAcentral.
AUGCAAGUCGAACGAUGAAGCCCUUCGGGGUGGAUUAGUGGCGAACGGGUGAGUAACACGUGGGCAAUCUGCCCUUCACUCUGGGACAAGCCCUGGAAACGGGGUCUAAUACCGGAUAACACUCUGUCCCGCAUGGGACGGGGUUAAAAGCUCCGGCGGUGAAGGAUGAGCCCGCGGCCUAUCAGCUUGUUGGUGGGGUAAUGGCCUACCAAGGCGACGACGGGUAGCCGGCCUGAGAGGGCGACCGGCCACACUGGGACUGAGACACGGCCCAGACUCCUACGGGAGGCAGCAGUGGGGAAUAUUGCACAAUGGGCGAAAGCCUGAUGCAGCGACGCCGCGUGAGGGAUGACGGCCUUCGGGUUGUAAACCUCUUUCAGCAGGGAAGAAGCGAAAGUGACGGUACCUGCAGAAGAAGCGCCGGCUAACUACGUGCCAGCAGCCGCGGUAAUACGUAGGGCGCAAGCGUUGUCCGGAAUUAUUGGGCGUAAAGAGCUCGUAGGCGGCUUGUCACGUCGGAUGUGAAAGCCCGGGGCUUAACCCCGGGUCUGCAUUCGAUACGGGCUAGCUAGAGUGUGGUAGGGGAGAUCGGAAUUCCUGGUGUAGCG